AACCCCCUGCAGAAAUAGACAAACACUAAAACUCAUGGAAUUCUGUCAGAUAAAACCCUAAGUCUAGAUGUUGAUUUCAUUUGGAUCCUUUUCUUUGUUUUAUUUGAUAAUUAAAUUUGAUACUUAAGGACCGUCAACAAACUCCCCCAAGCUUACCUCUUGCUCAUCCAUGAGCAAGGAUAGACUCAGCAAUGGAACAGAAGUUGUUGCAAUAUCUUAAAAAUUUGACGGUACACAUGCUUUUAAAUAAGAUCUCAUCUCUGAGUUAGAGUAAACUGUCAAGAACUAAAACUUACUUACUUUACCUUUCACCAUGGGACUUGUAACCGUCACUUCUGUCUUGAGUAGUAAAAAGAUAGAACAGUCUAGCCAGGUGCCAUGUCUCUUAUUCUUGAUCAGCUAUAGCUCUAGAGUUUUUGCAGAUUUUCAAAUAAAACUCAGAGAUUCCUUGUAUGACUCUCUAAAUCUCUCUUUUGUGGUAUUUCUGGAUCCUUACCAAGGCAGUGAUGGUAUAUGCCUUCUCUCAAGAUAUAUGGUAUUUGUGGUAUAAGGCAUAGUGACAUUGCCUUCUCUCUCACCCUACUCUAAUAAGGCUUUAAUAUCUGGAGCUCAUAGGUGGGAGACAGCUAAUACAUACUUACAAGACAUUUAUUGCAUAGUCAAACCAUAGAUCUAGAGAAACAAGUCAAUAAGUCAAAUCAAGAUAUGCAUGUGUGGCGAAUGAAUGGUGUAUGGUGAUGAUGGUGAUAACAAUGGUGGAAGUCUAAUUCUACUUUUGCUCUUUUGAGGGGAUACAUACCUUCCUUGCUUUUUGAAACUUUAUGAGGAGAAUGAUAUGCUCUAUCUUUCAUUUUUCUUUCCUCUCAGGUGGGUAUCCUGUACCCCUAAUUCUACUGUCGGACACUUGUCUAUUUUUACCUCUCGUCUCACUCUUUUUCUUUUCUUUUGAGGUUCCGGGCACUUGCCCCUUUUUAUUUCCUCGUAUAUUUUUUCUCUCCUUUUUUUUAGAGCACUCAUCUCAUGAGAUAAUAUAGCAGGUGGUAGUAACAAGAUAACUUGAGCAUUUAUUUCACAAGGAAAAACAGAAAUAUUUUUGGUUAUUCUCUCCCGGAUUAGGAGUAGAAUAUUUUUGGGUGGUUCUGGAGAUGGAAAUGAGUGGAUAUAUGUGGAUGGUACUUCUGGAGUAGAAGUAGCAUAUAUGAGUGAAUGUGCAAGUGAAAUCUUGAUUUAACCACAUGACAAGCUCCUAAGGGUCUACACAGCUUGACCACACUCAAUGCUCAUAAGCAGUAAAUAGUAAAUGUGUGGCUCAAAGUCUAGCAAGCAUGUAUAUAUGGCUGUGGUAGGAAUUUAAACUUUCAUCAUAUAGGAACUGAUCAUGCAAUAUUUUAAAGAUUUUUCAAAGAUAAAAUUCUCCAGAAUUCUAGCAUCUCUAGGAACAGAUAAACAGCAGCUCAACCUUCCCAUAUCAUAUCCGUUAACAACUUAGAUUUCAGAUCAAGUUUUCAUCCCACAAGUUUAGAUCUAGAGCAAGCUUUAAAUUAUAACAGUUAUGUCUAAACUUGAGAGAGAACUUCAAAUUUGCAAAUUAGGCAGAGCAACUAUUCAUCAUAUCCAUGCUAGAGUUUUAUUAUUAAGAUUCAGAUUAGCAUAGCCACUUUAUUUAUUUAUUAAACACACUAAGCAAAAGAUAUAUAUAUAAGCACAAAAUCUUUAUUUGGUUUUUCAUAGUUUAUGUAUUUUAAUAUUCUAAUAUAAUAUAAGUAUAAAGAUAGGUAGAAAUACUUAGCGAGAUAAAUAGGGGUGCUCUCCCCCAAGCUGAAUUUUGACGUAAUUUCUCUUGAUGUAGCUAGCAGGUGGCAGAGGUGUAUUUGAAAGUCAGCAACAUUUUGACAGCGAUUAGAAUGUCCUCCGUCUGCUAGUCUUCUUGAUUCUUAAAUUCUGUGGAGCUCAAAUAGACAACAAAGCUUGUGGAACUAAUUAAGUGUUAGCAUAAAUAUUUAGCCUUCAUCAUGUUGAGCUUCCUCAAUAAAUAUUACUCCCUAUUUUUAUAUUUUUAUUUUAUAAAGCAGAAAAGAAAUAUUUAUUUUAUUUUUAUGCCACCACAGUGAAGGUACUUAUGGGUUUUAUGCCACUCGUAUACUCACAUGGGGCUUAGUAUUUUUUAACAUUUUUAUUUUCUUUUCAAGAUGGCAUGAUUAACUAAUAAUCUAUUUACGGAAAGUAAAUAAUUAAAGGGAAAAGGGAAUGCAGAAAGGAUAAAUAUGGAUAACUACCGAUCUUACCUUUCGGCGAGGGUUCAAUGUUUUAAGUCUUCUUAACAAAACUUCUCACCGUGUUCAUUCUUCAGGUGCGUCAUUUGAUUGAGGUGCGGACCUUGACGUCUGCACUUCUUCGUUUGCCCUGCACUUCGAAGUGCGGCGUUGGCAGUAUCCUCCUCACUGUGUUUGUGCUCGUAGAUCCAGGUCCUUCACUUGGUAGAGUCUGAGAGUUAUAAAACUCCUCCGUGUUUUGCUCGAAGUGUACCUGCUCAUAGAGACAAGGCAGAGAUCAAGUGCAUGGGUCCUGUUGGUGGAAAACACCAACAGAACCUAAAGUGUAUUUGUUCUUCUCUAACCCUAAGCAUAGUGAGCAAGAUAAAGUUGAUGGAUGAAAAGUUCAUGAGUGUAGCACUUAUAACAUUUGUCAGAUCGGAUCGCUCAACCUUAUGGAAAGAUAAUCUAUCUAUGUUUUUUCUUUAUAUCUCUCAAAGAUUGAAUGUGUAACAUUUUAGCUCAUAUGACUAGGAGUGUGGGAUCAUGGAGGUAGUACUAAGAACAAGGAUUAAAGGACUAAACAUGUUGAAUCAGUUGGAUUGGUUAAUCUAGAGUUGUAAAUCAUACAUGUUUGUCUCUUUUAUUUAUAUGAAUGCCAGAACCAAGGAGAAGCUUAUAUAAGUGAUAGUCAAGUACCUUAAGAUGUUACCUUGCUUGGAGAGUGAUGGUGUAGUAUCACCUUGUGGAAGCUUUCCUUUCUUAGUGGUUGUGCAUCGUGUUUGUGGCACCCUCCAUGGAUCUUCUCUCUAUGAUGAAUGAGCUAUGUCCUUCUUGUGCAAAUUGUUAAACUUCAUGUGUCACUCUCUUCGUCUCUGAUGUGAGUUUAUCUCAGGACUUCCCAAAUCGAUAUUGAAAGUUUUUUUGC
This 3180-nucleotide long non-coding RNA is filed under the name Sorghum bicolor (sorghum). Its description in RNAcentral is "long non-coding RNA (SBIC_LNC015872)". The record is from RNAcentral. Lineage: Eukaryota; Viridiplantae; Streptophyta; Magnoliopsida; Poales; Poaceae.